CCCCUGCAUGGAUAAUAAUCGGGUAUAAGACAGAUACCGAAGGCGCGGGAUAGCAAUAAUAAAAGUAUCGGUAGGGGAGCAUUCCAUAUGCGUCGAAUGGUGCGGGUAACCUAUCCUGGAGUAUAUGGAAAAGCAAAUGUAGGUAUAAGUAACGAUAAGGAGGGUAAGAUUCCCUCCCGCCGCAAGACUAAGGUUUCCCGGGCAAUGUCAAUCAUCCCGGGGUCAGUCGGGUCCUAAGUCUCAGCCGAACGGCGAGGGCGAUGGCAGACACGGUCAACAUUCCGUGACUACCUUUAGGAGCGAUGCGGAGACGGAGCAGUGACACUUCCGCGAGCCGACGGAAUGGCUCGUUGAAGAGUGUAGGCGUAGAUCACGGCAGGCAAAUCCGCCGUGAGAGUCGAACUUGAAAGUACAGGGUCCUCUUCGGAGGAACCUGAUAGCGAGGGUAAGCAUACUCCCGAGAAAAUCCGCUAAGCAAUCCUAAAGGUACCCGUACCGUAAACGGACACACGUAGUAGGGUAGAACAUACUAAGGCGUUGAGAGAUUCAUGGUUAAGGAACUAGGCAAACUGACCCCGUAACUUCGGGAUAAGGGGUCCUCGUGAAAGCGAGGCGCAGAGAAUAGGUCCAGGCAACUGUUUAACAAAAACACAGGGCUGUGCGAACUCGAAAGAUGAAGUAUACAGCCUGACACCUGCCCGGUGCCGGAAGGUUAAGAGGAGAUGUCAACCUUUAUGGCGAAGCAUUGAAUUGAAGCCCCGGUAAACGGCGGCCGUAACAAUAACGGUCCUAAGGUAGCGAAAUUCCUUGUCGGGUAAGUUCCGACCUGCACGAAUGGUGUAAUGAUCCGGACGCUGUCUCAACCAUGAGCUCAGUGAAAUUGUAGUAUCGGUGAAGAUGCCGAUUACCCGCGAUGGGACGAAAAGACCCCGUGAACCUUUACUACAGCUUAGCAUUGACCUUGGUCAUCCGAUGUGUAGGAUAGGCCGGAGGCUUCGAAGCGGCGUCGCCAGGCGUCGUGGAGCCAUCCUUGAAAUACGGCCCUUUGGCUGUCUGAGGUCUAACACGCCAGUGCGAGGACACUGUUUGGUGGGUAGUUUGACUGGGGUGGUCGCCUCCAAAAGCGUAACGGAGGCUUCCAAAGGUGCCCUCGGGCCGAUUGGUAACCGGCCUUAUAGAGUGCAAUGGCAUAAGGGCGCUUGACUGGGAGGCAGACAUGCCGAGCAGGCAGGAAACUGGGGCAUAGUGAUCCGGCGGAUGUGUAUGGAAACUCCGUCGCUCAAAGGAUAAAAGGUACUCCGGGGAUAACAGGCUGAUCCCCCCCAAGAGCUCAUAUCGACGGGGUGGUUUGGCACCUCGAUGUCGGCUCGUCACAUCCUGGGGCUGGAGAAGGUCCCAAGGGUUGGGCUGUUCGCCCAUUAAAGUGGCACGCGAGCUGGGUUCAGAACGUCGUGAGACAGUUCGGUCUCUAUCUAUCGUGGGCGCAGGAGUUUUGAGUGGUGCCGUCACUAGUACGAGAGGACCGUGAUGGACAGACCUCCGGUUUGCCAGUUGUGCCGCCAGGCGCACCGCUGGGUAUCCGAGUCUGGUUAGGAUAAGCGCUGAAAGCAUCUAAGUGCGAAGCCAUCCGCAAGAUGAGAACUCCAUUGAGGGUCGUUGUAGACGACGUAGAUAGGCUGCAGGUGUAAAGACGGUGACGUCAAAGCCGAGCAGUACUAAUUGCCCGA
Molecule: ribosomal RNA, 1727 nt
Filed under: metagenome
Description: bacterial LSU rRNA
Rfam family: Bacterial large subunit ribosomal RNA
Source: RNAcentral